GAGAGAAAGAGAAAAUAAGCAAACGACUACCCACCCACAACCCCCACCUCUCUCCCUCGAUACGCAGUACAGGUCGCCGGCCCCGACCCGCCAUGCCCUCCGCUUUCCACCUCCGGCGACCCGCCGCGCCCCUCGCCUCCCACCUCCUGCGACCCGCCGCGCCCUCCGCUUUCCACCUCCGGGACCCACCACGCCCCCUUCUCCCACCUCCGGCGCCGGGCGACGCGCCCCAGCUCCCACCUCCGACGAGGCGCCACGGCCUCCCACCUUCGGCGAUGCGCCACGGCCCUGCUUCCCAUCUCCGGCGACGCGCCGCCCCUGAACCCCGUCUCCUCUCUCGCGCCGCCCCCACUCGCCCCAGAACGCGUCCGUUCCUCCCACGGAGCCAAGCUCGCGCACCGUCGUCCCUCCCACCGCGCCGAGCUCGCACUCCAUCGCCGCUGGUGCCCCCAUCCUCGCGCCGUCCGUGACCCCUCCACUACACUCCUCUGCUGCAAGAACACGUCAGUUCGUGUGGAGAAUAACAGUCCGUCAGUUCGAUAGUUCGUCAAUUCGCCGAUUGGAUCCGUAGCAGCAGCGCUCGCUCCCCAAUGGUUGCCGGCGCAAGGAGGAUACAGGGAGGCGACAGUGGUGGAGUCAGCAGCGUUCCAUGGCCUUUGUCCUCCUCGUCGCAUAUUUUCUUAUAAACAACAAGAAGAAAACAAGGCAUAGGCUUCAUGCUCUCCAUCUCCUGGUAAAGGGGAGUUAAGCUCUACGGCCACUUGGAUGUGGAUGCUCAUGCUCCUCCACUGGGCGAGCUUCCAGGGCACCACGGGGAUUGAUAUUGUCAUCUCUACCAGUCGGCCAUGAGGGCCAAGAGGUUGCCUGCACCCUGCUGAAUGAAAUGCCACUUCUGACCAGCACCUGGCCUAAUGCCGGACAAGUUCUAUCAGUCCUCUCUCGACAAAUCCAACAGUACAGGUUUUCCGGGGUGCCAAGUAUUGCCGGCGGCGAUGCCUGCAUCAUGGCCCAUUGAGGAGAUCAUGCCGUUAGUUGUACUUGGUGGUGCAGACUUGGUAGCGGUGAUAUCUUGGUUCGAUUAUAUAUCAACAACAGUGCAAUGACUGAAAAAUCAUCAGUUCAAAAUAUAUAUGCAGGAGGUUUGCGAACCAAAAAGCUGAUAUUUUGUUGUGUUUAAAUUUUCAGGUGCCUGAUUGAACAAGAUAUAAAAAUAAAAUAUGAUGUAUGAUAUAUAAUUUUUUCUUGUAAGAGGUUCAAAGAUUGUCGUGGAACAAGUUAAAGAGUUCAGUACACCUGCGUCAGUCAUCCAUCAUCUUCUGACAUCUAGUAUCGAAGUCUCUCCCCCCCUCGCCGCACACACAGACCGGGCGGUCGAGCACCUCCUCAAGUGAGAUGGGCGGCGAGGCCCUACCAUCUCCCGGUGAUGGCUUGCCGGCACACCCUGUAGAUUCACCUCUCACUCGCGCCACGGCCGCAGCUUCACUCCCGUGUGCCACCCUCGGCUGCCGCGCCAUGGACUGUUCUCAGCGGCUGCGGGUGGAGCAGCUGGGUCGAGGAACUUUGCCUUGAUAGUACAACAUCACACUCUGCUGUCGGUCGUGAGAAGAGCUGCGUGCAGGCCACCCCGUGUCCGCCCUCGAUCCAUCUCAGUCAUCUCCCUCUCAUCCUCUCUCUCUCUCUGGUCUGUGUUUCUGUGUGCAGGGAGUGGGAGGAGAUAGAGCAGGGGAGCGGGAGGCCCUUCCAUGGCAAAUUCGUUGGCAUCUUCCAUGGAGAUUGCGACCUCUCUUGAUUUUUGCUUGAGGAUUUCUCCUCUGGAUCUGUCCACUGUAGUUCUUGUAUAGCGGCGUCCUUUUUUCUAGUGUUCCUCAAUGUUGAUGCAUGUGUUUAAUAACCCACUCAUAUGAAUUCUAAAAACAAGCUUCAGUACAAGAAAAAUGGGUCGUUCAGUUCAAUUCUGAAUUAUAGGUGUGUGUAAACACAUCCUCCUUACACAGUAACUAAUUAACUAUGAUACCAUGUUCAGACUUCUACAAAUCCCGAAACUAUGCAGAGUUAGGAUUGUUACUACCUUGUUUCUUACUAUUGAUUCAUUUUUAUACUAUAUUGAGAUGGUACAUGUAGUUGGACAUCUCAAUAUACUGGUGAUUGCUUCUUGCUGCCUCUAUUUUUAUCAUGAUUUGGUGUGUGCACUGCAGCAGUGUUUUUGUUCCUAGAUCAGUUGCUCAACGACAGAAUUGUGUAUCGCACAGUACAUGUAUUACUACUAUGAAGGUUCAGAAAUAAGAACUCAAAGAAGUAUUGACAGCAUAGCUACUGUAUAUUCAAGGAGUCGGGUUUUGCUCCUUCGUCAUCUCAUCUCCUCCGUUCAGCAAAAGCCUCGAGAUAAGUUCACACAUAUGGUUUUGUUCUUUCUAUAAUUCUUGAGUCCAAACUCCUUCGUUUUUUGUUCCUUUGAAAUUAAAUAAACCUGUAGAAGUUUGGGGUAUAAAAUUCUGUAAGUUCGAAUUCGGGAAACUAGAAAGUGCAGACAAAAUUAAAACUGUCAAAGAAUUAUUGUAGGCAAGUUUAGAAGUUUGGUUUCAUGAGAAAAAAGUAUGAUUUUCUAUCAGUAUUUUGUAUGAUUCAUUUGCCACAACUAAAAAUAAAAAAUUAGACAAAAAACAAUUUUGUUUACUAUCGGUAAUGCUCUCUCCACCCUACUGUCUGUUUUGGUUGAUGAACAAGUACGGGCAAAAUAUGUUGUAUAGGGCAAGUUCUUGUAUUAGUGCCAGGCAAGUUCAAAAAAUAAACCGCGGCAAGUUCAAAAUGAAAAUGUGGCAAAAACAAAAAGGGAGUUCGGAAGUAGGAAUUUGGAUGUAUCUGCCAUUUUUCUUUUUUGUGCUCAGGUUUACAUGAAAAUACACUUUUAGUUUCAGGAAUUGAAGAACUUUUUAGGAAGAAUUAGCCUUUUGAGCUACUGUUGAUGGCUGGCAUUUGUGCCCCGAAGUACGAGUUUGGAAGGCCAGUAAGUUCUACUCUGGCAUAAGCCAACGGAGCAUCGGUCGAAGAAGGCCGAGGCGCCUCGUGCCAGCUCCGGGCAUCUCCGGAGGCCCUACCUGUUCUUCCACCGCCCAUGUGCACUCACCGUUGAGCCUAUCCAUGCACAGCUCUAGUAUUGAUGAGCUUCAGGCUUGUCGUUGUUCAUGCAGAUUAAUUCUUUGUUAAUUGCUAUUGCACAUUUAGUAAAUGUAGCCUUUGUCUUCUCAGUGAAGUUUUAUUGUGAAGAUUUUUUAAUGCACACCGAAACCAGAUUGUCUGCUGCUACAUGCGCAUCAUAUGCGUAUUUUUCCAUCGAGAAACCUCAUCAUAUGUAAAUGUCUUCUAAGUCUAGAUUUUGAUGAUGCAAAGUUGUAUCCGUGUACACAUUUCUUAUUUCUAUUGCUCUUGGUUCAAAUGACCAAUUGCUAUGAGUUCCUAUGUGUGUUAGAGAACAAUAGUGUUUGGCCGGGUCAAGCUUUGCACUAGUGGAAUUUUUUUUGUACCCU
Long non-coding RNA from Triticum aestivum (bread wheat), 3524 nucleotides. RefSeq lists it as uncharacterized. NCBI's taxonomy places the organism in Eukaryota, Viridiplantae, Streptophyta, Magnoliopsida, Poales, Poaceae. The record is from RefSeq and is a predicted model, not a curated record.